This 93-nucleotide unclassified non-coding RNA is filed under the name Mus musculus (house mouse). RNAcentral's name for it is "partial derived from hnRNA or mRNA fragment, or novel small non-messenger RNA without known sequence-or structural motifs". The record is from RNAcentral. Lineage: Eukaryota; Metazoa; Chordata; Mammalia; Rodentia; Muridae.
GGACAAGGUAUAUUACUGUCUACAUGCUCCCUGUUGUGUUUCCCUUGAUCUCUGUCAUUGUUUACAUAGCAGUGCUGACACAGGUUCCUUCUU